RNAcentral lists this ribosomal RNA (1004 nucleotides) under Mortierella sp. MEL 2385001. RNAcentral describes it as "LSU rRNA". It matches the Rfam family "Eukaryotic large subunit ribosomal RNA", at positions 55 to 916 of the family's 3401-position model. The record is from RNAcentral. Lineage: Eukaryota; Fungi; Mortierellomycota; Mortierellomycetes; Mortierellales; Mortierellaceae.
GGAAAAGAAACUAACAAGGAUUCCCCUAGUAACGGCGAGUGAAGCGGGAUGAGCUCAAAUUUAAAAUCUGGCUGGUUUACUAGUCCGAAUUGUAGUUUAUAGAAGCGUUUUCGGUGGCAGCCUGGGUAUAAAUCCUUUGGAAUAGGGUAUCAUAGAGGGUGAGAAUCCCGUCUUUGACUCAGUGCAUGCUACUAUGUGAUACGUUUUCAAAGAGUCGAGUUGUUUGGGAAUGCAGCUCAAAAUGGGUGGUAAAUUUCAUCUAAAGCUAAAUAUUGGCGAGAGACCGAUAGCGAACAAGUACCGUGAGGGAAAGAUGAAAAGAACUUUGAAAAGAGAGUUAAACAGUGCGUGAAAUUGUUGAAAGGGAAACGUUUGACACCAGUUAUGCGGGUGGAAAAUCAGUCUUUUGCAAUGGGGAGUUGUGGGCGUUCAGACCGCAAGGCUGGCGUUUGCUUCAUCUUUGUUGUAAGUGAUGCACUUUUUCAUUUGCAGGUCAACAUCAGUUUGCUUUGCUGGACAAAACCCCAAGGGAAGGUGACAGCUUAGGCUGUGUUAUAGCCCUGGGGCGAUACAGUGGAGUGGACUGAGGUUUCGCAGUGUGUGCUCUCGGGCAAGGCUGACUGGGUGCUAUGGGAUCGUUCGGCGUACAAUGCAUGCAUUUUGCGUCGUGUCUUUUUCAUACUCGCUCAACUCGGCUCUUCCACACUUAGGAUGUUGACUUAAUGGUUUUAAACGACCCGUCUUGAAACACGGACCAAGGAGUCUAACAUAUAUGCAAGUGUUUGGGUGGCAAACCCAUGCGCGUAAUGAAAGUGAACGUAGGUGCGAUCCGCAAGGUGCAGCAUCGACCGAUCUUGAUAUUUUUGGAUAGAUUUUGAGUAAGAGCAUAUAUGCUGGGACCCGAAAGAUGGUGAACUAUGCCUGAAUANGGGUGAAGCCAGAGGAAACUCUNGGUGGAGGCUNCGUARCGAUUCUGACGUGCAAAUCGAUCGUCAAAUUUGGGU